RNAcentral lists this ribosomal RNA (486 nucleotides) under uncultured bacterium. RNAcentral describes it as "partial 16S ribosomal RNA". It matches the Rfam family "Bacterial small subunit ribosomal RNA", at positions 28 to 507 of the family's 1533-position model. The record is from RNAcentral.
GAUGAACGCUAGCGGCAGGCUUAACACAUGCAAGUCGAGGGGCAGCGCGGGAUAGCAAUAUCCUGGCGGCGACCGGCGGAAGGGUGCGUAACGCGUGAGCGACAUGCCCGUUGCCCGGGGACAACCGGUGGAAACGCCGACUAAUCCCCGAUGGGAUAUUGUGCCGCAUGGCACGAUAUUGAAAGUUACGGCGGCGACGGAUUGGCUCGCGUCCGAUUAGCUGGUUGGCGGGGUAACGGCCCACCAAGGCUGCGAUCGGUAGGGGUUCUGAGAGGAAGGCCCCCCACAAUGGGACUGAGACACGGCCCAUACUCCUACGGGAGGCAGCAGUGAGGAAGAUUGGUCAAGGGGCGGAAGCCUGAACCAGCCAUGCCGCGUGCGGGAAGGAGGCCCUAUGGGCUGUGAACCGCUUUUGCCUGGGGGCAAUAAGGGCGUCGCGCACGUCCGAUGAGAGUACCAGGCGAAUAAGCAUCGGCUAACUCCGUG